UGCCUUUUUCUUUUCAUCAACCUUGGUGACUAUCAGUGUCAAAGAAAGCUUAAUUCUUCGUUCUGUUUUUAUUUGUCUCUUUAAAGGUUUGUAAAUUUUUUUUCUAUCGACCUUAUUCAACCAUGUAAAUGGAAAAUUUAUGUUAAAAUUCUUCCAUGCAUAGUAGGUACAAAGUGGUUGAGAUAGUUCACAAAAAUGUUAUGGAUGGCUUCUUGUGAUUUAAUAUUGGAGUCCAUAAUAUCUCUACACUCCAGAUCGCGUAGAACUAACUAGAUUGCUCAUUAUUUUCCCGAGCUUGUUGUUUUUGAAACGCUGGACGAUGCUGACAUUUGUGUUGCGUUCGCAGGUUAUGAAAUGGAUGAACAGGCUCCUGAUUCUAAUUACUUGCGGCUGCAGUUUUAUCAGUUCCCGGAUCCCAGGUCAAGACCUGGCCGUAACAAGGGGUGAUAGGCAUUAGGUGAUGAGAAACAUCCGUGUUGAUGUAAUCAAGAUUGCAUUUGCUCUUAUACAUUAUAUAUAUUGCUCAGGCUUGGGCACACACUAAUUGUAAGCACUUCUGAUGCACAUUGUUGUUCUAGGUAGUGAAAUCAGAAACAGUUUUAUAGUUGUGUUGAACGAUCUGAUUUUGCACGUCCAUGGUCUACAAUUUACUCAAGGAAUGUUUUAAUUCUGAAUUGAGAUUGUACUGUGCAUAGACUACCGCAAAAUUAGUACAGAGAUAGUUUCCCUAUAGAUUGUUUUCAUAUACUAGAGGACUUCCAUGGCCAGGGUAUCUUGCCACCAUAUUGUCCCCGUACAUUUUCCCUCCAUAUUAGUUAUAUAUUUAUCUGGACAUUCUAACCUAAUGAAGUCCUACAAUCAUCAUAACUCAUUUUACUUAGCUCAUGCUCCUUACAAUAUUUGAUGAACUCACAUAAGAAACUCAUAGAAAUUUGUUCCCAGUCAUUACCUUUGGACUGCAGUUGAAGCUUAUGAUACAUCCUCCCAAUGCUAAGCACUAGCUAGUGGGUUGUCGACUAAUCUAUGCCACCGUACACAUCGCAGGGGCUUUGAACUCUGUCUCAAUUAUUGUAAAGACGUUAGCCUCUUCAAUGAAAGAACCCAUAGUCCUAUGCUGCUAGAGCUCCCCCCACCCUUCUUGGAAUUAAUAUAGUGUUAGGACAUAUCGCUCUAUUUCUCACAUCACGUGACUAAUGAUUUCUUUGAAGUUACUUCUUUAGGAAACACUUAUACUACAAGUGCUUUUAUUAUAUAGAAUCUUUAUAAGCAAUCCAAGUGUUCAUUGAAAACGUAUUUGAAAGUGCUUCUUGAAAAAGCAUUUGGCAAGUGCUUCUUGAAAAAGCAUUUGGCAAGUGCUUCUAUAAAAGAGCUUAUUGGGUCAAAAGAAUUUCUAAGUUUUUUUUUCUGCCAAGCACAACAGAAUACACAUUUUAGCUUUUUCCAGAACCAAUCCCAGACAAGUUCUAAGCAAAGAAAGGGCGAUACAGCCUGAAGACAACGGAGAAUUUCCCUGACGUUAAAGGUUUUGUUUGUUCGGUCACUAAACCCAAAAAAAUAGAAAACUUGAAGUGGGCAAUGAAUUGGUUUUCGAUUUCCAUUAAAUUGGCACAACAUUCGGCAUUGUUAUGCAAAAAUAUACUUUUUUCUUAUCAUUAGUUUUACACACACUCUAGUCUGUGGUAUAAAAUGAGCUAGGGUUUGGUUGGAGAACAAGUCUACGUGGUAUCAUCACUUACAUUACAUGCCAUGUGGGCUGGAGGGUUUCAUUUGGUGCCAUUACUCCUUUUUCUGUUCUAUAAUCAUUUUGGAACUGGAAGAGAAAGUGGAGGGGAAAAGGUAGUUUAGGGCAAAAAUUUUCCAAUCAAUUUUUUGGCAGUGUGACUGUUUUCGAAAUAUAGAGUAGUUGUGGCAAAAAAGAAAAAGGAAAGGGGUAAUUGUACAUACACAUUGUUCCAAAGGGUCAGUUGUCCCACAACUUGUCAAGGGACCAGAGCAUUAAGUUGUAGCUGCAAGUGCAAGGAGAAAGUUGUGGAUUAGAUAGACCAAUGGAUUUGGUUUGGUUUAAUUCCAAGUCAUCGUCGUUUCUUCUUCUAUGUGGCCCAGCCGCCCAGGACUUUAGUCCUUAUUUGGCAGGUACUUAUUACAAGGUUAGAUAAAGGGAGAUGAUACAUGGAGAACGGUUUGCCAAGUUUGUUAGAGUGGAUCCGGAUCCAUGAGUGUUGGAUCUCUAGUAAUUGAAUCUUUAGUUAAAGAUUCAAUGUCUCAACGAUCUAUGCUAUACAUUUGUCUUUACGAAUUUUCAUUCAUUGUGUAUUACAUAAUAUUCUUGACCCUCUUAUAUGUGACUUCGGCCGACUUCUAUCACCCGAUAUCGUUGUGUAAUAACUUGAUGAGAUAGCCAAUGCUUAGGUCAUCUUCAAUGGAGAUGGCUAAAGGUCAAAAAGCUAAAAAAUAGUAUGAUUUGUUCAAAAACUCAUCUCCAACCAAUGUCAGAGCUAUAAUUAUAUGGAGCCCACCAUGCCAUUAUUUGGCUAGUGCCCCUUUCUUAGCCCCUUUUUGGGGCCUAGCUCCUCGAUUAUGCCAUCUGCAAUGAAGAGGGCUAAAUGUCUAAAAGCCAAAAAAUGACAUGAUUUACCCAAAAACUCAUCUCCAACCAAUAGCUAGGUUAUAAUUCUAUGGAUUCAACAGUUAGAUUUGGAAACAUCCAAUGUUAGUUUAAUUAAAUUAAAGUAUAAACUUAAAACUAAUAAAUUAUUAGGGAGCCUAUGUUUUAGCCCUUUCGGUUGGAGAUGGUAUAUGAGUAUGGCCGACACUAUUCAUUUAAAAAUAAUUUUUUUGUUGGGUUAUAAUUUUGGAUGAGGCUAUGUCUAGCCCUUUUGGUUGGAGAUGACCUUACAAUGAUUAAUUCAAAUUCAAUGGUUAAAUUUGAAAAUAUCCAACAAAACAUCCAACAGUAGUUUAAUUAAAUUAAUCAAUAAUUUUAAGUAUAAACUCAGAACUAAUAAAUUAUUGAGGGAGUUAUGUUUAGCCUUUUCGGUUGGAAAUGAUAUAUGAGUAUGGCCUAAUACUGUUUAUUAAAAAAAAAAUCUUUAGUUAUCUCUGCUAAUCAAUAAAACACUCAUUGUCAACCAAAAUCCUAUGAAAUUACCAGUUUAACCUUCUAAUUAAAACAAAACAUGAAUAAGAAAUAUGGGGCGGAAAUUUAAUUUUACACAAACAAAAUUUGUUGUUUUUUUUUUUCAAAACUUCAUCUAUAUAUAAUUCUAACAUAUCUCUAAUUAUAAAAUAAAUAAAAAAUAAAAAUAAAAACUUCCUACUCCCACAUUCUCUAUCACUCCCUUCCUCUCUUCUUUUAUUUUAAAACAAAAAAAAAAAUUUCACAUACUUUAUAUAUGCCCAUAUGCUAGUAAUUAUAAACGAAACUAUAUUUAACUAUUUCGUUGAAAAUGACCGUACGAGUAUGUAAAUUUUGAAAUGUGAGUUGUCGUUCACUACGCAAGCAAAGAUCGAAAGCCUUCAUGUACCGAGGGGUCCCACUCCUUGAAUCAGAAUAAAAGUGCUUUGAAAAAGUCCCUUUAAUUAUGUCCAAGUUUGGAUAAAAUUUGUCCAUGCAUGGCAUGCACUCACUGACUGAUCUCGUCGUCCUGAAGGGUAAGAGAGGUAAAUUCCAGAAUAACCCACGAGGCACUGUAUGAAGCCUGUCAAUUACAUCAACUCAUCAAGCUUUCAAUCUUUUCAUGGCAUGCCUAACUUCUGUGAAAUAUGCUCAACAUUUAACAUUUUGUAAACCAAAAAGAGAGUAAGAGAGAGAUGAUUGAAGUAAUAAAGUAAAAGCGAAAUGCAUGCAUUGAUAAAAGGAAAUUUUAACAAAAAAAAUUUCGGUACUGUUUACUUUAACAAAAAAUUAUAUUUUUACAUUAAAAAGUCAAUUCUAAUACUAUUCAUUUUACCCUUUAUUUGUUCUUUAUUGUUAAAAAUCAAAUUUUUCAAUCCAUUUUUAUUAGUUUUCCUUUGAUAAAAGGAGAAAGAUGCAUGGAGAACUGGUUUUUUAUUUUAUUAUUAUUUUUUUUACAAACAAUAAUAUUAGAGUGGAUUAAGUUAUUAGCUGUUAGCGAGAAGAGGAUCAAUAAUAAUCAAACUAGCACCCGGAUGUAUAAGCAUAAUUGUUUUCUAAAAUUGCAAUAAAACGUCACUUUCCAUAUAUAUAUAUAUAAAAAAAAAAAACUUAUUGUUCCUUGUAUGAUGGAUUGCAAUCUCAAUAUCGUUCUUAAUGGAACGGCCACAAUUAGUUGUUCAGGACAUAAACAAUAUGUAUUGUCUUUAUAUUUAGGAAAUUGGCUCUGUUAGCCUUAUUACAAACCCAACAAUUAAAAAUACUCCCAAAUUAUAAUCUCUAUUAGCCCUCUUUUCCUUAAAUACCACUAACUUGAAAGAUGAACUGUUAUUCUAUGUCUCGACGUUGGAUCUCGAUGGCAUCCAAAAGGGCCUCUCAACUCCCUUCCGACUGUAUCUCGACUGAAUCACGACGGCAUCUCAACGGCACAGAACUGAAUUACCCUUAUAUUUAUGAGUUGAUCAGACACUCCAAUUAAAUAAAAAUAACUAUAAUUAUGUCAAAAUUAUUUAGUCAGUCUCACGUAUAUAUAAUUAAUUCAUCAAACACAUAAACAAAAAAGUUCUUGUAUGUAUGCUAUACUUUGAUUUGUCUCAACAAGAAAUGACUCAGUCAUCUUUUUAUCUAUGUCCAUUGAGUUUAUGGAGGGCAACAUAUUGAGAUCUCAAAAAUCUUAUUCUCAUACAACACACUUUUUUUUUUGAACAAACGAUAUUAUCUACACUAAGGGAAAAUGGGUGGCCUAAACCUCACAAUGGGCUAGCAAUAAUGUGGUUCAAAUUCACAUUUGGCGAGAAUCAAACCUAAGACCUCUCACUGACAAGUGAAGAAGAAUAUCACUAGACCGUAGUCCUAAAAAAAAUAUAGAUCUUAUAGUCUUGCAGUGUUUUAGAUUAGCUAAAACGUUGGUAUCCAUAUUAACUUACCAAAAAAAAUAUGUUGAAUUUGCUACACCUGGAAUUUGUAGCAGAUUUGUCAUUUUAUAAAGGGGUUUUUAACUCAUUUAAAAAAAAAGAAGGGGUUUUUAACUUUAAUUCUUAAAAAAAAUUGAAAUUUAAUAAAAAUCGGAUGUUAGAUUACAUAUUAAUUAUUGUCCUUUAAUGUGUUAUUAACUCAAAUUAAUUAAUGUGUAUUUUAUUCAAUAUCUCACAUUAAAUAUUUGAAUUUAUGAAAAUGAAAAUUAUAAUAAAAUAUAAUUAAUAUAUCAAAAUUAGAAAGAAAAAGAGAAAUAAUUAAAACAUCAAAAUAUAAUUAAUAAAUGAAGUAAUUAACAUAUCAAGAGACUAAAAUUAGAUUUUAAUUUUACUCAUGUUUUUAAUUUAAAGUUAUUUUUAUCAAAAAUUAAAAUGAAGUUUCCUAUUUUGUAAAUUACAACGAUGAAAAAUGACGCGUUGCACGUAAGAAACAACAUCUAUAUUUUCUCUUUUGUUUAAUAUGCCAUCAAACAUAUCCAUCACAUUUUAAAUUUUGUGGAAGUCCCUCUCUCACAUUGAUAAAGUCUGGUUUGUGUUGGACAGCUGUCCAACAGACAACCCAAAAAUCUUCCAAAAACCAACAAACAUUUCUGACCAGUCAUGCAUACGUAUGCAUGGACCCAAUGGCAUAUAAUCAAAAAUUUUAAAUAAUGGGAUCGUAAUGUCAACUUAAAAAAAAGUUUCAUUAAGCUAUUUCAUCGAACAUUUAGUAAGCAAUUGUCAAUUCUUGUCAACAAUGCCAAAAGUUUAUGUUAAAAUAUAUCAACUACGAUAAUUUGUAGAGGCUUGUCGAGAGUGAUGUAGGAUACUACGAAGUAAUAUUGAGAACUCUUAAAGCUUUUCAACUAAAGUAUUUUAUAUAAAAAGAGAGAAAAGAAAAACAAAUAUGAUAGAAGAAAAUAGAAGAAGUAAGAAGAUGAGGUUGUAAGUUAGUUUGCUUUAGCUAUUUAUAAUGGUCAAAUAAAAUAUACAAACAAAUAUACAUGAGAUUUUUAAAGUUGUUGAGAUCAAGGAUAAUCAAUGAUCCCAUUCUAGUUUUGCCAUUGCAUGGGCCGGAUAGGGAUAUGGCUAAAAUAUAAUUCUAUUAAUUGCGUUUUGGGACUUUGUCUAACAACUUGGCUCUCUCUUGACUUGGAUGCCAUGGAUGGCUCAUGCAGUUUACUAAAACUAGUAAUGUACAAUUUUCAGAGACUAUUAAUUAUCAUCUAUCAGGAAAAUUUGAUUUCCAUGCUUGCCCUUUCACGUCGGUGACUUGGAGAUAAUAUUGUUUCUUGUCCGGAGAUGAAAUAAAAUAAAAAGACUUGCACGAUCAUACUGCAUUAUAUAUAUUACACUAUAUAGUCUAUGUUGGGAGUUAUAUAUUAGUUAAAGUAUAAAUAGUAGUCUGUUAUCCUAUAUUGAUGAAGUGCAUAUGUAAUACAAAUUGUAAUUCCUAUAUAUACUCCAUUUUGGAGAUUAAUGAAUAUAUGAGAAAUUCUCAAAUAUUAUCAUAUAUAUUUUUGGUAUUUACCAUGUUUAGUUUAAUAUAGCAUCAAAGCAGUUCGCUCUUGGUGACCUGUGUGCUUUAAUUUUGUGCCCCACAUUUGUCAUGAUUUCCUUCGUCUUGAAAAAAAAAAAGGAAAGUAAAUAGUGUUGCACUACAGUACAAACAGUGCGUAAACAGUGGUAUGCUACAGUGUUCAUGAACAAUAUUUUGCUACAGUGCCAUUAACAGUGAUCUACUACAUCACUUGAACAGUGAUGUGCUACAGUAUUAUGGUAAAUUGUUUUCAUUCCGCUGCCUAUCUUUUGUGCCUUUAUUGUUUGUGAUUUAAUUCAAUGGCUCAGUAUAAUCAUAAUGUUGUUAUGCAUCUUGGUGGAACAAAUAAAUGGAUAAUUGAUACUGGGACCACUAAUCAUGUGACUAGUGACCCUAGAAUGUUUGAUGAGUUAUGUGACUAUAUUCUUGAUCCGUAUAUUACUAGUGCAAAUGGAGCACAUUCCCCCGUGAAUGUUGAAGGCAUUAUCUCUCUUACUUCGACCUUAUCACUGGUCCAUACUUUACUUGUUCCUGAUGUUAAGUGCAAUCUUUUGUCGGUAGAAAAACUACUUGAUACUUUAUAUUGUUUUGCUCACUUCUACCCUACGUAUUGUUAUUUUCAAGACAUUCAAACUCAGAAAGUAAUUGGUCAUGGUAAAAGAAUAGAGGGUUGUACAUCUUGACUAUGGAGGAUACUGUUGUUUCCGGUUCAAAUAAUCAUCAAGUUUUAAGUGCUAAAGUGGAUGACAUACAUCAAAUUUGGUUGUGGCAUUGGCGAUUAGGACGUCUAUCAUUCAGUUAUAUGAAGCAUCUAUUUCCUGCUUUGUUUCGCAUUUGUAGUGAUUCAUAAUUCAAGUGUGAAGCAUGUGUCAUGGCUAAGAGUCAUCGUGCUUCCUUUCCCAUAAGUGAUUCUAAAGCUACUUUGCCAUUUGAUUUAAUACAUUCUGAUGUGUGAGGUCCGGCAAAUGUUACUUCUAAUGAAUUUCGUUGGUUUGUUACUUUUAUUGAUGAUUGUACUCGAUUAACUUAGGUGUUAUUGAUGAAGAAUAAGAGUGAUGUUCAUUUGCUUCUUCAAGAAUUUUGUGCAAUGGUGUAUACUCAGUUUCAGACCAAAGUUAAGGUUUUCAGGUUUGAUAAUAGAGGAGAAUAUGUGAAUCACACUUUGACAUGCUUUUUUCGUGAUCAGGGUAUUAUUCACCAGACGACUACUUUGUUUACACCCCAACAAAAUGGUGUGUCAGAACAGAAGAAUCGUCAAAUAAUGGAGGUUGCUCACUCAUUGAUGUUGGAUAAAUGUGUUCCUAAUCAUUUAUGGGGUCAUGUUGUUUUGGCUGUUGUAUAUUUGAUAAAUCGUGUUCUAAGUAGGGUUCUUGAUUUUCAGACACCACUUGAUGUGUUACAAAAGCAUGUUUAUCUUGUUUCUGUAUCAAAACUUCCUCCGAAGGUGUUUGGGUGUAUUGCGUAUGUGUAUGUCUACUCUUAUCAGCGGAGUAAACUUGAUGCAUGUGUUCUUCGAUGUGUAUUUAGUAGGUAUGCUAACAAUCAGAAAGGCUAUAAGUGUUAUCAUCCUCCGACUCAUAAAACUUAUAUUACCAUGGAUGUCACUUUCCACGAGGAAGUUUCGUAUUUUGUGAAGCCAUCUUCCGACUCUCCACUUCAGGGGAAAAAAGGGAGUGAAGUGCAUAUUUGAAGAGAUGGUAUGGAUGAUGUGUUACAGGCAGAGUUGGGGAUAGAACCUAUUAUGUUGCGUGAUACUGAUCAGUCGGUUAUAGAUAGUGAUCUGUCACCUAUUAUUCCUAAAACUAUUUUUACUGACGACAGAUUAGAUGUGCCCAACGAGUUGCUUGUCAGUAUGUCUGACGAAUUACUUUCUGAUGACCGAUUGCUUGCUUCUGGUAUGUCUAACGAGCUGCCUGAUGAUGGUUAGUUCAGUGAUGGUUCAUCCAGUGAUGAUUCUUUUAACAAUUUGGUACAAGAUAAUGACAUACAUGAGUUAAAUUCUGACGAUUCUUCUAUUUAUUAGUUGCCUCCACGAGCUAAUCGUGGAAAACCUAAGGUACAAUAUGAGCCUGAUAUGCAUGCCAAAUCCAAAUAUCCUAUCAACAAUUAUGUGUUUACUCAUCGUUUGUCCAAACCAUUUUCAUCUUACAUAUGUCAGCUAUCUAGUGUAUCAAUUCCAACAAAAUUGCACGAUGCCUUGUCUGACCCUAAGUGGGUUAAUGCCAUGAGAGUUGAGAUGGAAGCCUUGGAAAAGAAUUCUACUUGGGAUUUGGUUCAUUUACCAAAUGGGAAGAAAGCUGUUGGAUGUAGAUAGGUGUUCACUAUUAAGCACAAAGCAGAUGGUUCUAUUGACCGGUAUAAAGCCAUAUUAGUUGCUAAGGAUUAUACUCAAACCUAUAGGGUGGACUAUCAGGAGAUUUUUGUUCUUGUUGCCAAACUUAAUACUGUGUGUGUUCUUCUGUCCUUAGUAGCAAACCAGGAUUGGCCUCUGUUGCAGUUUGAUGUUAAGAAUGAUUUCCUUCAUGGUGAUCUCAAGGAGGAAAUUUAUAUGGAUCUCCCACUUAGUAUUAGAACAUCUCCUGAAAAAUGUGUUGUAUGCAAGUUGCAAAAAGCUUUGUAUAGUUUGAAACAAUCUCUUAGAGUGUGGUUUUGGAGGUUUACAAGUUCAAUGAAGAAGUUUGGGUAUGUCCAGAGUCAUUCAAAUCAUACUUUGUUUCUAAAUUGUUUCUAAAGCCACAAAAUGGUAAGCUAACUGCAUUGAUUAUUUAUGUUGAUGACAUGUUAGUGACUAGUGAUGAUCAAAAGGAGAUACAACGCCUUAAAAAAGUACCUAGCUAGUGAAUUUGAGAUGAAAGAAUUGGGUGAAUUGAAGUAUUUUCUUGGAAUCGAGGUUGCACAAUCCAAGCAUGGUAUUUUUCUGUCUCAACAGAAGUAUGUUCUUGAUUUGUUAGUUGAAACAAAUCUGUUAGAUUGCAAACUUAUUGAUACUCUGAUUGAGCAAAAUCAUCAUCUGGGCUUAUUUCCGAAUCAAGUUCCUACUCAUAAGGAACGGUAUCAGAGGCUUGUGGGGAAAUUAAUUUAUUUGUCUCACACUUGCCCUGACAUUGCUUAUGCAGUUAGUGUAGUAAGUCAGUUUAUGCACUCACCUAGUGAAGCUCAUAUGGAUGAAAUAGUCCGUAUUUUGAGGUGCUUGAAGAUGGCUCCUGGCAGAGGCUUGGUUUUCUCCAAGAAUGGUCAUUUGAAUGUCGAAGGGUAUACAGAUGCAGAUUGGACAAGUUCUAUCACUGAUUGGCGGGUGGUAAUCUAGUUACUUGGAGAAGUAGAAACAAAAAAUGGUGGCUAGGUCAAGUGCUGAAGCUGAGUUUCGUGGUAUGUCUCAUGGUGUAUGUGAGUUGUUGUGGUUAAAAAAAUUGUUGAGAGAUCUUGGAUUUAAACCCAAUGGUGCUAUGAAACUCCAUUGUGAUAACAAGGCUGCUAUUGAGAUUGCUCAUAAUCCAGUGCAACAUAAUCAAACAAAACAUGUGGAGAUUGAUCAACAUUUCAUCAAGGAAAAUUUGGAUGCUGGAAUUAUUAUGUUUCCGUUUGUGAGAUCUGAAGAUCAACUCGCUGAUGUACUUACUAAGACUGUGUCUAAUAGUGUGUUUUCCAACUCGCUUGACAAGUUGGGCAUGCAUGACAUCUUUGCUCCAACUUGAGGGGGAAUUUUACGAGUUAUAUAUAGUUAAAGUGUAAAUAGUAGUCUGUUGUCCUACAUUGAUGAAGUACAUAUGUAAUACUAAUUGUAACUCCUAUAUAUACUCCACUUUGGAGAUUAAUAAAUAUAUAAGAAAUUCCCAAAUAUUGUCAUAUAAAUUUUUGGUAUUUAUCAUGUUUAGUUUAAUAGUCUAAACAUCAGGAAAUACACCAACCCUAAACCUAAUGGAUUUUAUGAAGCCGCUGGUUUGGGUACACAUUAAUCUAACCUAAUUGCUCUACCACAUUCUAAACACAAAAUUUGUUAUAAAUAGGAUGAUUAAAUUUAUUUUCUCAAGCGGUAGAGUAGUGAACCUCACAGCGACGACAAUCUUCCACCCCCAAAUUCGGGUUUUUUUGUACUAAAAUGGUCUUUUAUGUAUAAGAACUUUACGAUAAGUUUAUUAAAAUUGGCUCUGUAUCUACGAAAUCUCAACAUCCAUACGUUACAAAAUGGAUUAGAACUCCUAGGAAAUAAAAUAGAACAUAUGAUGAUCCCUUUAAAGGGCCUUAUAAUGGGGAAGACUUCUCACAGAAUAUAAGAAGACGAAGAGGAAAACUAAAAACUUAGAACUUCAAGGAGAUGGACUGGAGCAGGGAGAAUGGCAAAGAACCGGAACCCAGAAGACCCGCAACGAAAAAGAAAACACUGUACUUUUUUUAGACAUUUUUUCACAUUUCUUCUCGGCCUUACAGCCAAGUAGCAUUUUCCGACCCCAAAUAAAGAUAGAAGGAAAAAACCAAAUUAAGGUAAAUAAAUUUUCUAUAGCAACUUGGCAAACAAAAACAUACUAGAAGAAAACAAGGAAAAUACAAAGAAAUUAAGGAAGUAUGGGAAACAAAAUAAAUUUAAUACGGGACCAACGACAACGGUGCAAAUGUAUAUUGUUCAGGAAAUAAACUUUUAGCGAAAAUGUGCUGCAAAAUUGACCAAUUUUGCUUCAUAUUCACACUCAAUUUUUUUAAGAAUUAAUAUCUGUAGAGUUUAGACCAAAAAUAAAAUAAAAAACAAAACCAAAAUGCUACUCCACUUUCUUGGUACUUAACUCAGCUCUCCACCUCCUUCCAAUCUUACAAGCUUCUAGAUUUAGAUUUGUCUCAAAUCACAUGCCAACUAACCUGCCCAGCUCAAUUUUAUUUUUUCUUUGGAAAUUCCAGUGCGUCUCUACUUUUGUUUUUCUAAAUCUUACUUACUCCCAUUAUAAUUGGAAUUUUAUAUAUUUAUAUGGAUGCUUUGUCAAGAUAUGAGAGAAAUAGUAGUGAUUCAAAAAGAUGAUUAGGAGCCAAAAAUAUUUAUUAUUUUAGAUUGGUGUUUAUGUUUUUGAACAGUUAAAAACUUUUUUGGUCAUUGUGUUUAUGUUUAAAAUUUAUUUUGGUCACUGUAUUUUAUUUUCUGCUAAUUUAGUUACUGUGUUAUCACAAGUUAGCAAUCUUAGUCCUUCUCAAUCAAACGUUAAAAAAAACGCACAUGACAUGCAAGUGCAGGGGUAACUAUGUAAGUGAAAAUAUAUCUUUGCCCCUGCACGAAACUGUCACGUGCAUUUUUUUGGCGGUUGACUUAUGGUAACGCAGUGACCAAUUUGGCAGAAAAUAAAACACAAUGACCAAAAUAAAUUUUAGAAAUACACACAGCGACCAAAAACGUUUUAAUUUAACCCAUUUUUAACAGUCCAGCCAGCUACCAUGAAAGCUACAACAUGAAAGCUGACUGUCAAAAUUUUGUUUAAAAAUUCAUACACAAUAAUCGUCAUAAGAACGUGCAAUAGGUACUUUGAAUUCUUAAAUAUACUGCAUGGUUACCCUUUCCUUUUGUUUUAUACAGAGAAAUCUUGACAGGCAGUCAAAAGCAAAAUUAUGUUCUUCUAGUGAUAUCUGUGUGCUAAAAAGGAAGUACGUAGCUACGUUCAGUCUUCACCUAACACUCCUAUUUGCACCUAAAAGAUGUGGAUAACAAAGAUUUUGACCAAAAUCACAUUGACAAGUACUUGCCAAAGGAUCACGGAACCUAUGAUUGUAAAAGAUAUACGUGUUGGGCCUGACCGACGUUAAUUAGUUGUUCAUAUUGAUUUGAGAAAUUUGAUUGAAUGAGGAUUAACAAAUCACAAUUGCUAAAAUAUUAAAAUGUAUUAACUGCGACAUAUUGGUUAAAUAAUUAUUGCACAUCGAAAAAAUAUUGACGAGUAAUUAUGAAUUUUUAUUUUCAUUAUUUCAAACAUUUUUAUAUUAGAAAAGCUAAAGAAAAUGAUUUAAAAACUUUGAAUUUUAAUGAUACGUACAAAAUGAAAGGUAAAAUAAAUAGUACCAGAAUUAACUUUUUGUUUAAAUUUUAUUUUCUAUUUGGCAUCAACUUUUGGUUUAAAUAUACUAUAUAACCCUCACAAAAGAAAAAGCAUGGUGUACUAGUAGCUAAAAGACAUAAAAAAGGUUAAUCUUAAUUUAUUAUUCUAAAGUUUCUUAGUUUUCAAUAUUUGGUAUAUAAAGUUUUUUUUAUUCUAGAGUUGUACAUAAAGUUAUAAUUUUGGGAUACUUUCAUACAUCCAUUAAGGUUGCUGUUAAAUUUAUCAUUAACUGAUGAUAUGACAUUUAUGUUGACAAUGACACGUAGAUAUUAAAAAUUAAAAAUUAAAUUAAUAAAAUAAUAAAAAUUAAAAAAAAAAAAAAAUUGGGCGUCUUCACCCUCACCCCUUCUGACCCCCCUCCCUUCUCUCCUCUGCACCCACGCUUCCCCCUCCCUCUUCGACUCCACCCAACGCUGCACUCCGAGGAUUGUUGCCAUCCUUUCAAGCCCAAUUUCGCCCCCAAAUAGGCCCGGGCAGUACUUGGCCAUAAACUUCAAGUCGUAGACCCUCUCGAACAAACGACCUGCCAUCUUUGCGAACUCAGUGGGGGAGCUGAGGAUGGUCUUCCUCGUCACCAGCUUCAUUACAUAGGCCGAGUCGUAGAGGCCGUGGAAGCUCACCCAUACGAGCUGCCCCCUGUGCACCCUUAAAAUCUCAACGAAACCCUCCACAAAAAUAUCCGAAUCAAUGCCGAACUUCCCAAAUUUCUCGAGAUCCAAGCCAUUCGCUUUGAGGAGGGCAAUGGAUUCUGGAACAUGGGGGUCGGUUUCCUCGUCAAAACCCCGAAAGUUGAACUCCCAGGUGCCGCCGACGUUGCCGCGGUCGUCGAACAGGGUGAUACCCACUUGGAUGAGAUUGAGAGAAUCGACAUUAAGGGCGAUAUCUUGGUAACGGAGGCCCUUGGAAGUGCCUCUGGGGGUGUUGCGGAGGAACCCCGGAAAUUCGGUGUCGAACGAGACGAUCGGAAAACGGCAGAGACACCGAUCGACGGAGGGAAGGGGAAAGGUGGGUGCAAAGGAGAGAACGGGAGUGGGGUCGGAAGGGGUGAGGAAGAAGAUGCCCAAAUUUUUUUAUUUAUUUAAUUUUUUUAGUUUUUAUUAUUUUAUUUUUUAAUAUGCACGUGUCAUCAUGUCAUUGUCCACGUGGAUAACACAUCAUUAGUUAACAGUAAAUUUAAAGGCAACCUUAAUGAAUGUAUAAAAUUGUUCCAAAAUUAUAACUUUAUGUACCACUCUGAGAUGAAAAAAACUUUAUUUACCAAAUAUUGAAAACAAAAAAACUUUAAGAUAAUAAACUAAUAUUAAUCCUAAAAAACUACUAAAGGAAAGGGUGAAAGAAAAAAUUAUUAGUUUGUGCUGUUCUCAUGGUAAUAGUGGUUUUUGUAUUGUACGAUCAUGUGUUACAUUUUAUGCAUUAUUAUGUGGAUGAAUGAAUAAGUUAAUUACAUCGCAUGUCAUAGGGUGAAUAUUACAUUAAAAAAUUCUUCAUUCUUGUUAUUCGUCAAAUUAAUGGUUGUGCAUUUGUAUGAGGACCUAGAUCUGUUGAGGAUGCAGAUCUUCACUCGUUGAAGGCCAUCCCUAUCUAUCUACUACUACUCUUUGGAAAAUAAUUGACUACAGAUGAUUGUACAAAAAAAUAAUUAAUAUUAUCUGAACAGCUCACCAUGCAUGUUCAGUAAAGUAAAGCGGAUUUGUUUAUUCAUUGUCUAGUUCAAACUUGGGGAGCAUUUUCUCAUUCUUGCGGUGAUCAGAAUAAUGUGAUUUAAGUCCAGUUAAACAUGCUUAAUUAUGCAUUUAAGCAUCUUUUAUUUAUUUGCUUUCAUUAUUUUUUCCUUCUUAAUGUGUUGUUAUUGUUUGGAACAACAAGUAAGACAAAUCUAGCCAGUUAGCAUUCACCGCAUCACCGCAUAAUGAAAGAUUAUUCAUAUUUGGAAAUGAAUAAUUAAUUAAAAAACUGUAUUAUUAAGGCAAAUGGGCACUUAAUAUUUGUAUCUUAAACCUUCCGAGUCGGAUAUUCGAGUAAAUUAGUUAAAAAGCUAUGCAAAAUGUGAAUGUGACAGACUACGUAGUAAAGUUUGGGUUAAGAGAGAGAGAGAGAGAGAGAGAGAGUAUUUCGCAGCCGGCUGGUCCCUAUGUACGGGAAGAAUCAUAGAAAGUUAGGUAACUACACACAUUUUUCAAAGAUGUCGAUCAUGAAAAAUAUUUGAUAACAAAUUCAGGGAGGACAUACUGCUUAAAUUAUUAACCUAGAAAUAAAGUUCGAUCUCUUGCUUUAACUUUUCUGCUACGUAGCUCUUAUUGCAUUAAACAAAGCCUUAUUAAAGUAAAGAUGGUCACACCCUUAGCCCUUUAGGUGAUACGUUCAGGGAAAUGGUUAAUGUUUUUACAAGCUCUUGUUUAUUUUUAUUUUUUAAUAUUUUCAGAUAUUUUUACAAUCUUUUACUGCGCAGUAAUAGAGUGUAAAAAUCAUAUCUAUGUAUUUAUUUAUUAUUAACUAUGUUUACAAUGAACCUUCUAUUCCAUGAAACAAGAUAUAAAAAUAAAAAUAAAAAGGAGAAGGGCAUAAAUUAACAAAAUUCGGUCAAAGGCCGCAUUGGUCCAAACAUUAAUUGAUAAUCUAUGACAAAUAGUCUGGCCCCAUUAGCAUUAUUUUAACAGUAAUAUUGUUUUUUUACUAAGAUAAUUAAUAAUUGCCAAGUGAAAAUUUGGCAUGAGUACCAUUGUGAAGGGUAAAAACCAAAGCUAUAUAAAGGGUGAGGAGGCUUAGCUUCAGAGGCAGACAACCAAAAACCCAUUCUUAACGAAGGAUGGGAAAAAUGGUGCCUUCACAAGUGACCUCUCUUGUGGUCACUCUCCUAGUGGCAAUAGUCUCUCUCACAUUGCCUUCAGAAACUUCAGCUAACUACCCUUACACCUCUCCACCACCACCGGCCUCUCCUCCCUACCAUUACAAGUCACCACCGCCUCCUUCUCCUUCUCCUCCAGUGCACUACUCACCACCUAAGCAUCCCUACCACCCUAAGUCACCACCACCUCCUGUGUACGCACCACCUAAGCAUCCCUACCACCCUAAGUCACCACCACCUCCUGUGUACCCACCACCUAAGCAUCCCUACCACCCCAAGUCACCACCACCAUCACCAAAGCCUUACCACUACAAAUCCCCACCACCACCUCCUGCUCCAGUGCACUCACCACCCCCACCUAAGGAGCCAUACCACUACAAGUCCCCACCACCACCACCCAAGAAGCCCUACCACUACAAAUCUCCCCCACCACCUCCUCCUCCAGUUCACUCACCACCACCACCCAAGGAGCCUUACCACUACAAAUCUCCACCACCACCACCCAAGAAACCUUACUAUUACAAGUCUCCUCCACCACCACCAAAGAAGCCUUACCACUACAUGUCUCCUCCCCCACCGGUGUACUCACCACCUCCACCAGUGCACUCACACCCACCACCAAAAAAGCCUUACCAUUACAAAUCUCCUCCCCCGCCAGAAUAUUCACCAGCUCCACCAGUGCACUCAACCCCACCACCAAAGAAGCCCUACCAUUACAAAUCCCCACCACCACCACCACCACACAAGAAGCCUUAUUACCCUGUUCACUCACCACCUCCACCUAAGAAGCCUUACCACUACAAAUCCCCACCACCACCUUCUCCUACUCCUCCUAAAUACUCACCACCUAAGCACCCCUACCACUACAAGUCUCCACCACCACCACCAAAGAAGCCUUACCAUUACAAGUCCCCACCACCUCCUUCUCCUACUCCCCCUAAAUACUCACCACCUAAGCACCCCUACCACUACAAGUCACCACCACCACCACCCCAAGAAGCCUUACCACUACAAGUCUCCACCACCACCACCUCCUCCAGUUCCCACACCAUCUCCACCCAAGAAACCUUACCACUACAAGUCUCCCCCACCACCCCCUCCAGUCUACAAGUCUCCUCCACCACCAGUUUACUCACCACCACCACCACCUAAGAAACCUUACAAGCCACCAACUCCUCCAGCAGUUCACCCACCACACGGUUACAUCUAUUCCUCACCCCCACCUCCUCACCACUACUAGAUAUUGAAAGUUUAAUUGCAUCAAGCUGGUAAGCUUCUCCAUUCUAUGCUAUUAUUCAUUAAUUAGUUAGUACUACUGUUGUCAAUUUGGAAAUCACCAUACAACCAAAUGCACACUCUGACGAAAUAACAUAUAAAUUCUAAUUGAAUAGUCUUUAUUUCCAUUUUUGGCUAAUAAUCCUUAUUAGCAUAUGGAUAAUGUAUUUCCAACAUAUCGUUAUUAACUUAUUACUCAAUUAAUAUUUCUUUUUCUUUAAAUUCAGUAGCCGUGUGUAACAAAUAGACCAAUGGCAGAGACCCAACAAAUAACAAUAAUAUGUCUUUGCAGGUAAGGGAAGAAGAAAGGUCAGAAUAAAGAGGGGCUGUUGAAGUCGAACAGCGCGC
RNAcentral lists this long non-coding RNA (17146 nucleotides) under Malus domestica (apple). RNAcentral's name for it is "long non-coding RNA (MDOM_LNC008886)". Lineage: Eukaryota; Viridiplantae; Streptophyta; Magnoliopsida; Rosales; Rosaceae. The record is from RNAcentral.